UGUUGUUAGUGGAGGCUUAGUGGUCUCCAAGGAAUUUCAAAUGUCCCUAUAACUCAUCAGCUCACAGAGUCCUGGAGGCACUCACCUUCGCUUGUCCCAUGAAACUCCUGCCAAAGUCCUGACUGACAGGUGGCAUUAUUAGUACUGACCUCACUAUCAGCGUGUACAUCGCCGGUUGAUCAUCCCUACACUGUC
RNAcentral lists this long non-coding RNA (195 nucleotides) under Mus spicilegus (steppe mouse). RNAcentral describes it as "lncRNA (ENSMSIG00000027169.1)". Lineage: Eukaryota; Metazoa; Chordata; Mammalia; Rodentia; Muridae. The record is from RNAcentral.